UACGUAGGGGGCUAGCGUUGUUCGGAAUCAUUGGGCGUAAAGCGCGUGUAGGCGGCUUGGUAAGUCCGUUCUGAAAGCCCGGGGCUCAACCCCGGGAGGCGGAUGGAUACUGUCAAGCUUGAGUCCGGAAGAGGAGAGUGGAAUUCCUGGUGUAGCGGUGAAAUGCGUAGAGAUCAGGAGGAACACCCGUGGCGAAGGCGGCUCUCUGGUCGACAUCUGACGCUGAGACGCGAAAGCGUGGGGAGCGAACGGG
RNAcentral lists this ribosomal RNA (253 nucleotides) under uncultured bacterium. RNAcentral describes it as "partial 16S ribosomal RNA". It matches the Rfam family "Bacterial small subunit ribosomal RNA", at positions 524 to 776 of the family's 1533-position model. The record is from RNAcentral.